Long non-coding RNA from Daucus carota subsp. sativus, 506 nucleotides. RefSeq lists it as uncharacterized. NCBI's taxonomy places the organism in Eukaryota, Viridiplantae, Streptophyta, Magnoliopsida, Apiales, Apiaceae. The record is from RefSeq and is a predicted model, not a curated record. The transcript is spliced from 3 exons.
ACACUUCUAACACCUUAUUUUCUCUCUAAUGGCAUCCGAAAAUAGCUGAAAAAUCACCUUAAUUCUUCCCAUGUGCUAAGAAGCUUUACUCCAUUCUUGUAAAAUAAGGUUAGAGCCUUCAGGUAGAUGCUCGCGAGCUAUCAAAGAUUCAAUAUCUGAGAGGCAGGAUCCUGAUGGAUUCACCUGGAAGGCAGUGUCCAAGGAGGUGAAAGAUUUUUAUUUCGACGAGUUCAAGAAAACAUGUGUUUGGAGACAAGACGAAAAAAUAAUACAUAAAGCAUGGGCAAAGAAAGCGAGUGUCCUUUAUUCAAACUUUUGCAGUGAUGCCCGGGCAAGAUGGGUAAAAGGUGGACAUGAUAGUAGAGUUGCUAUGCAUGUAUGGUUGCGUUGGGUUGAGUUUUGGAAAACCCUUAAUUUUCAAGUUAAAUCAAAUACUCAAAAGAAGAAUCACAAGGGUGGAGCUGACAAAUACCUUCCAACCCACACAGGUGGUUCAGCCUCUUUAA